UGAGAUCAUGCCACUGCACUCCAUCCUGGGCGACAGAGUAAGAUUCUGUCUCAAAUAAAAAGAAAAAAAAAGAAAAGAAAAGAAAAAAAAAUGCAUGAAGCAGGAAGGUGUUGUGAAUGAGCAUUAGUUCAAGUGGACAUCCAUAAAUCUGUUACCAGGUCAUUACCGGCUCCUGCCCUCUGUCAGAACCUCUGCCCCAAAGUAAUUGCUUCCCUUCCAUUCUCUGGGGUGCUCUCACCUUGACUGCCUAUGGAAUCACCUGGGAAAACUUUACAAAAUAAUGCAGUUGAGCCUCCCCCAAUCCAGUGAAAACAGACUGCCUGGGAGUGCGCACAAGUGAUUCUAAUGUGCAGUCUCAGCUGCCCUAGCUUUUCAUGUGAAUGCCAUCUUUGCGCUUGAAUUUCUCAAUGAGCUUACUGCUCUUUACAUCCAACAGGUAAGCUCACUUUCUCAUCAAGAGUCAGAGUUGCUGGACUGUUUUAGAAGCCUAGGUUACAUUGCAACCCAUUUUUUUUCUUUCCUUUUUUUAAAAAAUUUUGUUUGAGAUGAUGUCUUGCCAUGUUGCCUAGGCUGGACUCAAACUUCUGGGCUCAAACUCCCUCUUCAGCCUCCUGAAGAGCUGUGACUAUAGCCACCAUGCCUGGCUUGCAACCUAUUUUGGAAACUAAUGGGUUUUUGUGUAUUUGUGGUAAAUGUGUAUUUACCACAUACUGAGUGCUUUCUAUUUCUCUGGAACUGUGCUAAGUACUUUAUUUGAUUUAAUCCCCCCAAUGACUGUGGGGUCAGCAUCCCUAUCCCUAUUUUACUGAUGAAGAAACAGGCUCAGAGAGACUACGUGGCUUGCUUCAGGUCACUCAGUUUAAAAAGUGCUGAGUGUGGAUUGGGUUCAGAGCUCUCCGACUUAAUGCUCUUAAGCAUCAUUUCAUGCCGUUCAUUCAGGGUCUUGAUCGAAGAGUUGAGGGCCAUUUGGCCACCCACAAUGAACUGGAAGUAAACACGGAGAGGUCGUCACGGUGUCACUCGAGGCACACUUAAGUGGUGUGCCUUGGAGCUGAGUUUCUGUCUUUGUCAAAUGGGGACAGCACUGUUUCGUCUUCUCUGGCUGACAACCUCUUACUCAUCUCUCAAAGGUGCGUCAGUUGUCACAGAAUGGGGAAGCCUGAAAGCUCCUCUGAAUUUCAAGUGACCUCCUGGCUAAAGCAGAAUUAGUCAUGUCCUCCUCUAGCCUCACAGACCACUUGUCCAGGUCUCUGAGAGCAGUCAACAGGAGCCCUACACUUGUCAUGUGAGACACUGGUGCAUCUAUGACCCGGUACUAUUUUGUAGCUAUUUCACUGUCUGCAGAGUCCAGCCUAGGGGCUGGAGCAUGGCAGGGGCCCCUGCAUGUCUGCAAUUUGAGUGAAAGGAUGAGGGUACUGCUCAAACACCAAAGCUUUGGUCAGAGCCUAGGAUGUAAUGACACAAGACCCUUUGGGCAGAGAUAUAUCACUCACAGCCACAGGAUAGUGGUUAGGUACCUGGACUCUGAAUGAAGACUGCCUAGGUUCAAGUCCAGCUCUGCCACUUGUAAGUCGAAUGACCUUGGACAAAUUAUCUCACUUCCCUGCACCUCCCUUUCCUCAUCUGAAAAAAUGGCUGUGUCACAGCCUUGUUAUAAGGAUUGAAUGGGUGGGUGCAGUGGCUUAUACCUGUGAUUCCAGCACUUUGGGAGGCUAAGGUAGGAGGAUCACUUGAGGCCAGGAGUUUGAGAUCAGCCUGGGCAACAUAGUGAGAUCCCGUCUCUACAAAAAAAUGAAAAAAUUGCCAGUCGUGGUGGCUCAUGCCUGUAAUCCCAGCACUUUGAGAGGCCGAGGAGGGUGGAUCACUAGGUCAAGAGUUGGAGAUCAGCCUGGCCAACAUAGUGAAACCCCGUCUCUACCAAAAAUACAAAAAUUAGCCAGGUGUGGUGGCACGUGCCUGUAGUCCCAGCUACUCAGGAGGCUGAGGGAGGAGAAUCGCUUGAACCCAGGAGGCAGUGAGCCAAGACCACGCCAUUGCACUCUAGCCUGGGUGACAGAGUGAGGGGCUCCAUCUCAAAAACAACAACAACAACAAAAAAAACAAAAAAAA
Macaca fascicularis (crab-eating macaque) is the source of this 2109-nucleotide long non-coding RNA. The record is from Ensembl. NCBI's taxonomy places the organism in Eukaryota, Metazoa, Chordata, Mammalia, Primates, Cercopithecidae.